AUGGAGAGUGCUGAGACAUGUCAUGGUUCUCUCUUGAUUGUACCGGAGUAUUCCAGACCGGUUGACCACGAGCUAUGUUAAACGGAUCCAAAUCCGGGUCGGGUUGGCCCAUCUUCUUCUUCCUCUUCGAAAUACCUUCUUCUCUCCCUCGCCUGUAUCACCAAUUCAGAAGAAGUAAACUUUCCUGUGUUUUCUUUUGUUCAACUCUUAUCCUCGAAGAUGAAAGCAUUCGCUGUCCGAUUCUCCAAGCUUAUCAGAUUUUCUCCGACAUAUCUCCUUUAGAUUACCCUCUUUUUUUUUUCUUUUUUUUUAAGUGCAUUUCACACUCUGCAAUUAGAUUGUUCUUCAGCUCGUUUUGCGAGAAGGU
Long non-coding RNA from Arabidopsis thaliana (thale cress), 367 nucleotides. RefSeq annotates it as other RNA. NCBI's taxonomy places the organism in Eukaryota, Viridiplantae, Streptophyta, Magnoliopsida, Brassicales, Brassicaceae. The record is from RefSeq. The transcript has a single exon.